RNAcentral lists this long non-coding RNA (287 nucleotides) under Capsella rubella. RNAcentral's name for it is "long non-coding RNA (CRUB_LNC001895)". The record is from RNAcentral. Lineage: Eukaryota; Viridiplantae; Streptophyta; Magnoliopsida; Brassicales; Brassicaceae.
AAGUAUGUAUAAAAUAUAGUUACCCACAUGUUGUAAACUUAUAAUUAUAUUUGUAAAGCUCGUGUGAUAUGGUUAAAGAAGCUAACAUAAUUGUUUUUAUAUUAAGGGCUUGAUCAUAUAUAGUUUCAGAUUUUUUUAUUAUUUUUUUACUUAAUUAUAUAGUUUCAGAUUGAUUAUACAUUAUUUGAUCUUAAUUUGUUAAGACGAUUGCUGUCUGUAAAUGAGUAAAUCUUGAGAUGGGUAUGACCAUGCAGAUCAUCGAAAUAGGUAAAUAACAUUGAAUGCAA